Pelobates cultripes (western spadefoot toad) is the source of this 230-nucleotide non-coding RNA. NCBI's taxonomy places the organism in Eukaryota, Metazoa, Chordata, Amphibia, Anura, Pelobatidae. The record is from the annotation of a GenBank genome assembly.
AAACAAUCUCAAGUCUAUCCCCUAUCAUUUCUUAGUCGAUGGACUUGUUAGUAAACCAACAAUAUAUGUUAACUGGAAUAUCAACGCUUUAGCUUAUGGUAAGUUCACCUCCCUUACACGAUGGAGAUAUCUUUUAAUUCUAGAUGAAAUCUGAGAACAUCCAAAAACAUGUUUGCUUUUACCUAAAUAUACUAAGUAUAAUCAUGUUCCCCAGUGCCUUGCAAUCUGAC